GGCCCCUGCUGCCUGGCUCCUCUCAUUGUUUUUCCAGAACUGGCAAGUUCAGGCAUGUGGCUGCUGGCUGCACCUCCCCGGGUGCCUGCCACCUUGGACAACGGCGGUAGUUCCUACCCAUGCUCCCUUCUUCAUGCCAUUUUUACAGAGAUGUUGAUGUCUCUCUUCUUGCCGAGAGUCUCCAUCAUUUUGCAAAGUUUCCCUAAGAAACUGACAAUGGUGGCAUAGCUUUGCACAGAUGCACUUGGCUUCCUGUGGGGACACCGGAGCCAUGGAGCUGUGGCUCCUAGCCAACAGGUCCCACACACCUACAGAGCAGACAUAGAACUCACUGAGGACUUUAAAUGCAGCUUUUGACUUUGUCUGCCGGACAGCCUCGUCCUGUGUGCACUCCAUCCUCCCUACCCUUCCUGGCAGUGUCCUCAAAUGUAGAUUCCUAAAAAAAAAUCUCAGGGCAGAUGCAAGCUUGAACUUCUUCAGACACAUACAUUCUCAGGCUUACAAACAUAAGUGUGAAGGCUAUAUUGUUUGCUUUAAAUGAAAUAGGUAUCCGUAUUUCUAAAAGUACAAGAAAUUUAAAUAGUGGAUUUUUUUUUUUUUUUGGACAAGUCUUACUUUAUAGCCUAGGCUGACCUCAAAGUUUUUGUCUUGUCUCACGUCCCAAGCACUGCAGCUGGUAAGUACGAGCCCCUGCCCAAUAGUGAAACUAAGUUUUAUUGUUCUUAUUUCAGAUCUUAACAGGUCUUAACAUUUAAAACUGCACCGACUUUGGGCUAUAGCACACUAACUCAGCCCUUCCUUUCAGAAGUCAUGUUAUCCAUACAUCUACCUGCAGAUAAGGAAACAAUUCUUUCUGCAAGUAAACAGUCAGGCUGCUGGAGUGCCGGUGCUGGCUGGGACUGAGCUCUGUCCACUACAGCUACUCUGAAGCCAUCCAUCCCCUGUCCCGAAAGCAGCCUGUGGAGUCAAGGGAGGACCCCUCCAGGAUGCAGAUGUCCUUUAUCCAGCUGGGAGAGAAGACUCCUUGCGGAAGUGGCCCCUGGAUUUUCCACUGUGGCACGUACCUGCCUCUUCUCGGAGGAUGGACGAGUCGAACCGGGCACAAGCAUGGAGCUGCGGAUGAGUCCUGGCUGGUACUGGCGCGGCGCAGCGAGCAGUGGCUGACGCAGAGGGCUCCCUGGCCUCGCUCGGUGCCUGCCCGCCUCUCCCCCACCUCCGCCGGGGGCCCAGAAAGGACCUCCCCGGGAAAUCGGCGCCACCCAGCGGGCAGCAGCCUCAUUGCGCCCGGGCCGGCCAAACCACACCCCGCGUUUGCGUCACUGAUAUACGUCAUGGCUAUUGGCUUGUUCCUAUUGUUGCGUCAGUAGAGCCCCGCCCGGCGCGCAUCUCCCAGGUAACCGGGUAUAUACAGAGAACCACGUGGAGAAAAAGCACGCCUGUUUGGAGCCGGUGGCGCAAGGAAAGAAGUGGACUGGAAUCUGAUAGGUCCUGGCGCUGGGAAGACUGAGACAGAGGGUCACUUCACGGGAAAAGGCAACAUUCCAGCUUUCAGAUCUUAGAGAAGGCUUUCCUACCGGGCUGGGAAUGUUCUAUUCCAUAGACUCUUUUUCUGCCUACUUUUUUAUUUUAUUUAUUUAUAUUUAAAAAUGCAUUUAUUUAAACAACCAUGUAUAUCUCAUAGCAAUAUUUAUAGAGCCCCAUAGGUCAAUCAAUCAGGUAAAAAAAGAUUAUGUCCAUUCAACACACUAUCAACGUACAUGACUAUUCAAGUGACGCAUUCUAUGGGCUACUUAUUAAGUACAUUACUAGACAUGGUGAUAAGUACUUUGCAUAUAUUAGCUUUCUCAUUUAAUCUUUUUAAUGGUCCUGUAAAAGAACCACUAUAGUCAUCUAUUGCACAAUGUAGCUGAAGCCUAGGGAGACCAUGUUCAAGUGGUAAAUAAAUGUCAAGUGUCUUGUA
This is a long non-coding RNA of Mus musculus (house mouse), 1960 nucleotides long. RefSeq annotates it as predicted gene, 39325. Lineage: Eukaryota; Metazoa; Chordata; Mammalia; Rodentia; Muridae. The record is from RefSeq and is a predicted model, not a curated record. The transcript is spliced from 2 exons.